Molecule: long non-coding RNA, 2122 nt
Filed under: Gossypium barbadense (sea-island cotton)
Lineage: Eukaryota; Viridiplantae; Streptophyta; Magnoliopsida; Malvales; Malvaceae
Description: long non-coding RNA (GBAR_LNC009433)
Source: RNAcentral
GCCUUAUUACAUUUAAAAACCCAAAACUUCAAACGUAAAUAAAAGGAUGUCCAGUUCACCAGAAGAAAAUCAAACUUUCAGAAUGGGUGGCCACUCCGAAUUCCCUCACAGCUCCAAGCCCACUAUGGUUGGGGAUUUCCUGCGUGGAUGAAAAUAAAAGGGGUGAGUUUGGGGAAACUCAGUGUGUAAGGAAAACCCAUUCAAAGCCCAAGUCAGCUCAAGCCUAUGGGGCCUAAGCCCAUUCAGGUAACAGUGGUACUGGACCAGAGCCCUUUUCAGAUUACAAUAAACUGGGCCUUAGCCCCUUAUUCAGGUAACAGUAUGGUCCAUAGGCCCAUUUCAAAAUACAUGCAACAUCAAUAACAUAUGCAAGCACAUUUAGGGAGACUACUCAACCCACCAACCACUACACUCCACCCGUACCAGCCCUACACUCCAUGUGGGGAAUAGCUCAACCCACCCAGCCCAACACUCCACAGUUGCAGCCUUGCUGCUCAGUUAACAGUAAAUUGAGGCAAAGCCUCCAGUACGUGGACAAGCCAUUUUCAGUACUUCCUCCGUCAAUAUCUCAAUCCCAUUCAUCAGAUAAUAGCAACAUGGCAUGCAGUAAAUAACAACAGUCAAACAUGCAUUUAGGUCAAUUUAACCCUAUGGGUAUUUCGGUAAUUUACCUCUUAGGGUAAAACUGUAAAUUUUCUACUUUUAAAUGUAUUUCAGUAAUUUAUCUAUUUUAGGGUUUUUCAUACAUAUUCCUACUUUUCACGUACUAGCAGAAUCACGUAUCGAGGGUUCUUACCGAAUUGGGCCCGUUGGCCCAUCAUUCCAAUUUUGGCCCAUUAAGCCCAAAAAUAUCGAGGGCACAGAAAUCAUGCACUUUGCAGUCCAAACAUUGCAGCUUACCAAAAACAUUAAUCGAUUUACCUCACGAGCAUUCGCACACUCGCAAAUCUACAAAAUAUCGGUUUUUGGCAUUUCGGCUUUUUGGCUUUUGCCGAUCUAGACUAAGAAAGAGGGUGUUAGUUACACACCUGUUUGCAACGAUAUGCUAACGAGAUCCACACACGAACCGCCUACAAUUGGAUUACUAACACGUUAAUCUAACUAUUCAAAUACAAACUACGUAUUAACCCCUUACAAUAUUCGGCCAACCAGACCUGCAGAUCAUAGUAAGCUUAUAAGAAAACAAUAAGCAACUCAUUAACAAAUUUUUGUCAAUGUUUACCACAUAAUCAUAAUUUCACUGCAAGCUCUCUUCCUGAGCAACAGUCACUAAAUCAUUUAUAACUGGAGCUACAAAACUCCAAAUCAAGUUCCGUUAAUUUUCAUUGAAAAUAGACUCAUAUAUCUUCUAUCCAUAAAAUUUUCAGAAUUUUUUGCUUAGCCAAUCAAUACCAGAUUUUUCUCAAAGUUUCCCAUGUUUCACUGUUUGACUAAUCUGACCACUCUUCAUUACGAAUCAAAUUUCUCAUUGUACAGAAUUCAAAAUGUGUUCUCGUUUAUUUCAUUUGAAACUAGACUCAUUAAGCUUUAAUUACAUAAUUUAUUCACCUUCUAACACAUCUCUCACAAUUUAUGGUGAUUUUCCAAAGUCACAUUACUGCUGCUGUCCCAAGCAGAUUUAUUACCAAAUUCACUCUUUCACACAUAACUUGCAUGCUUGUUAUUCAAACAUGUAUAUCACCAAUCAAUCAUCAUAUAUCUAUGAUUUUUACUUAAGCAUAAUCUCCAUUUCAUCAUUUUAAAGCACAACAUGUUGGCCGAUUUUUCCCUUUAGCAUCUAAGGCACAUGCAUGCUCAUUUGUUUGGCUCAACUUCACAUAUCUUACAUUUUUCAUCAAAAGAACAUGAAACAACAACCAUUUCCUUCAUUUUAAUUCAUGAUCAAAUGCUCACAACACAACUAAAAAUCAAAAUAUACUUCAAGAGUUAAGGUAGAAUCAAGAAGAACUCAUGAACCUCAAAAUAGAAGCAAGGUACCAAGAACUCACCUUCAAUUUUCCUCCUCCUAAUGACCGAAUACUCAAGAGCUUUCUCCUCUCCUUUCUCUUCUCUAACUUUCAGCUAUGAUGAACAAAGAUGGACAAAACUUUGUUCUUUUCACCCCUUUUUCUUUUAAUAAAAC